Long non-coding RNA from Ochotona princeps (American pika), 233 nucleotides. RefSeq lists it as uncharacterized. The transcript is spliced from 3 exons. The record is from RefSeq and is a predicted model, not a curated record. Lineage: Eukaryota; Metazoa; Chordata; Mammalia; Lagomorpha; Ochotonidae.
GGUUUCCAGACUUGAACCUGAAGCAGAGAGGGAAGGAGGAGCCAGGAGGUGGACUGAUGUGAGAGGCGACAGCGGCCCCUGCUGUUGGAAGGCUCAAGCUGCAAGAGAGGAGGCCCCUUCCUGCCUGAGGUGUAGCCCUGCAGCCUGCUACAUGCUUCCCAGGCUGGAGAACACCAACACACCUUCAGUAAGUUAGCCUGGCCAGACCCAGCCUGCCCCCAGUACCAAGUCUU